UACGGAGGGUGCAAGCGUUGUCCGGAUUUAUUGGGUUUAAAGGGUGCGUAGGUGGCCUAUUAAGUCAGUGGUGAAAUUUUGCAGCUUAACUGUAAAACUGCCAUUGAUACUGGUAGGCUUGAGUACUGUAGAGGCAGGCGGAAUUUAUGAUGUAGCGGUGAAAUGCAUAGAUAUCAUAAAGAACACCGAUAGCGAAGGCAGCUUGCUAAGCAGUAACUGACACUAAUGCACGAAAGCGUGGGUAGCGAAC
This 250-nucleotide ribosomal RNA is filed under the name uncultured bacterium. RNAcentral describes it as "partial 16S ribosomal RNA". It matches the Rfam family "Bacterial small subunit ribosomal RNA", at positions 524 to 773 of the family's 1533-position model. The record is from RNAcentral.